Molecule: ribosomal RNA, 505 nt
Filed under: uncultured bacterium
Lineage: Bacteria
Description: partial 16S ribosomal RNA
Rfam family: Bacterial small subunit ribosomal RNA
Source: RNAcentral
GACGAACGCUGGCGGCGUGCCUAAUACAUGCAAGUAGAACGCACAGUUUAUACCGUAGCUUGCUACACCAUAAACUGUGAGUUGUGAACGGGUGAGUAACGCGUAGGUAACCUGCCUGGUAGCGGGGGAUAACUAUUGGAAACGAUAGCUAAUACCGCAUAAUAUUGAUUAUUGCAUGAUAAUUGAUUGAAAGAUGCUAUUGCAUCACUACCAGAUGGACCUGCGUUGUAUUAGCUAGUAGGUGAGGUAACGGCUCACCUAGGCGACGAUACAUAGCCGACCUGAGAGGGUGAUCGGCCACACUGGGACUGAGACACGGCCCAGACUCCUACGGGAGGCAGCAGUAGGGAAUCUUCGGCAAUGGACGAAAGUCUGACCGAGCAACGCCGCGUGAGUGAAGAAGGUUUUCGGAUCGUAAAGCUCUGUUGUAAGAGAAGAACGGGUGUGAGAGUGGAAAGUUCACACUGUGACGGUAUCUUACCAGAAAGGGACGGCUAACUACGUG